CGUACUUUCAGCAGUCAUAUCUCGAUAACAAUGAACGCGAUACGCGUUGCAAAGCUGAGGUCUUGGAAAAAAAUUAAUUGUUGUAAUAAAAACUACACUAGACAUAAUCGAUUAUCAGAUACGUGAUUGGUGACCUCGAAAAAAUAACACCAAGUGAUAAAACUUAAUGGACCGUAUAUUGGACACAUAACACGUCCCAAGGCAGAGCAAUUUGACAGGGCAUUUGACAGGUCAACCUGUCGUUCAAAAAUGAUAAAAAUCAAGAAUUAGGCCCUGACUUAGCAUUUAAUAAAGGUAUUUUUAUCAAACUGGAUCAGAGAAUUAAUAGAGUGUCGAUGUUAGACGAUGGUAAGAUGUUUUAAAUUAGUUUUUCAUCAAUUAAGAAUAUUUAUGUUGAACUUGUCUGUGCAUAUUCUUGAUUACUGGAAUUUCCUCAACAUUGUGGCCUGAUCCCAGACGGUCAGGACUAAUUCAGGUGGUUCAAAUCAUGAACGAGAGUUCAGAGGCACUAGCUACUCACCCAUAAUAUUGUCAUUCGUGACUCCUGUACAAUUAUUAAAAUUAACCUCAAACAGUGAUUGACUUCCUGAUAAUAUUCUUUCACGGGAAGAAGAGUGCAACAGAAGUUCAAUAUGACAAACGGCUUUUUCGUCACCAGAAUAGAUUCAAAUGGCACAAAUGCACAUCCUCGAGUAUCACAACGGCUGACAUCGGAGAAAAUAGUGGAGGCGGCAGAGUAAGUGUCAACAACAAUGACGAGGCGUCCACAGAUACUCCCCACCCCAAUCACAACUUCACUUACCAAUUGACACGAUGUCAGUGAACAAACUCCAAGCACAGGUCUGUGUCAUAAAUCCGAGGAAUCAACUACAAUUUCUAGGAGGUUGAGCAAGUAAUUAUAUUGAUAGCCAGGACGCACGUACGCCCUCGCCAGAAGGUAGACAAGAAGAGGAUUCAUUCAAAUGCACCAGCUGAGCACAACACCAAGUCUGAUAUGAUUCCAGAGACAGUUGAACAACAAAUCCGGAGAAGGUCAUUAAAUACUUGAAAUGUAGGAUGUGGAUGAAGAAAGAGCUGUCAAUCCUGUGAUCUGAAAAAUGUCUGGCCCACCCCUCCAUCGAAACGGUGGUUUGCUACAUUGUUCUUGGGUACAUCGAAUGUAAAGAAGUCGUGCAUUGAUCACGUGAAAAGAGAAACAAAUAAUUAUGCUGAAUUGCCGGGACCGAUAUAAUCACAUAUCUCGGUUCGCCGAGGCUCCACGGCCUCAUUCUAAUGAUAAGCCAACAAAUGGCCAGAGGGAUGUAGCGCUUAUUCUUCAGGCGAUUGGUGAUAAGGGGCCAUGAGAUUACUUCGUUCACGUUUCCUUAUCGACACACAUACAUUAAUGAUACCAGUGGCUGUUCCACGCAGUUAUAACUUCAGUGCCAAUAGGGUCUAGCGGCUGUCUGAAGUUUCCAAUCGUUCACGAACUUUCAAAGCCUUGAUGCAUAUUUUUCUGAGCUUAUAUAACACAUAAAUAUUGGAAACAGAUCAUAAAAUAAUUUUCGAAUAAUUCUAAAAUCAGUUGUAUCCACUGUAAUUGUACAAAAAUCAAACUUCUGUAUCCUGGAAGUCAGAAAAUCUAGCAAAAACUCCGUUGAAGUCUUUCCGUUUCCCAGAGAUAAGGUUACCAAGAGCUAGAUAAUGGCAUCGAGAGUCUAGACAGUUAAUUAUAUGAGCUGCGUCCUUUAAACGUCUCGCAUGCAGUUACACGAGCGGUGUAGAUAACUCAUACGUACAUAUCGAUUUUUUCCCGUUGUACUUAUGUCAUAGUAUGUAAAUGUAUGCCCCAUAGUAUCAUUUGUUGGUGAGAAAAUAAAAUUAAAGGGUCAUUGUAGUCACAAUGGUUAUUAAAUGAUUCAGGCCCGCCGGCUGAGGGGGGAGGGUCGGGUCUGAACUCUUAAUGCCAUUCAUUAACUAUCAACAAAU
Long non-coding RNA from Diachasmimorpha longicaudata, 1968 nucleotides. RefSeq lists it as uncharacterized. NCBI's taxonomy places the organism in Eukaryota, Metazoa, Arthropoda, Insecta, Hymenoptera, Braconidae. The record is from RefSeq and is a predicted model, not a curated record. The transcript has 4 exons.